GUCCCUUCGAGGACGUGUGAUAAAAGUGGAACGAUACAUAGAAGAUUAGUAUGAUUUCUGCACAAGGGUACAUGUACAAAUCGAAAACUAGUCCAAAUUUUU
Brassica rapa (field mustard) is the source of this 102-nucleotide non-coding RNA. Lineage: Eukaryota; Viridiplantae; Streptophyta; Magnoliopsida; Brassicales; Brassicaceae. The record is from Rfam.